AUUGAACGCUGGCGGCAGGCUUAACACAUGCAAGUCGAGCGAGCGGCGGACGGGUGAGUAAUGUCUGGGAAACCCCCUGAUGGAGGGGGACAAUUACUGGAAACGGUAGCUAAUACCGCAUACUAUCAGAUGUGCCCUGAUAGGAUUAGUUAGUAGGUGGGGUAAUGGAUCACCUAGGCGGCGAUCCCUAGCUGGUCUGAGGGGAUGACGAGCCACGCAGACACUGAGACACGAGACAGACUCCUACGGGAGGCAGCAGUGGGGAAUCUUACGCAAUGGGCGCAAGCCUAGUGCAGCCAAGCCGCGUGAGUGAGGAAGGCCUUCGGCUUGUAAAGCACUUUCAGCGAGGAAGCGUUACUCGCAGAAGAAGCACCGGCUAACUCCGUGCCAGCAGCCGCGGUAAUAC
Molecule: ribosomal RNA, 406 nt
Filed under: uncultured bacterium
Lineage: Bacteria
Description: partial 16S ribosomal RNA
Rfam family: Bacterial small subunit ribosomal RNA
Source: RNAcentral